RNAcentral lists this long non-coding RNA (1304 nucleotides) under Scleropages formosus (Asian bonytongue). RNAcentral's name for it is "lncRNA (ENSSFOG00015030557.1)". The record is from RNAcentral. Lineage: Eukaryota; Metazoa; Chordata; Actinopteri; Osteoglossiformes; Osteoglossidae.
GUGUUCUUUAAACCGCACAUUUACGUCGAACACAUACUAUGAGAGUUAAAUCGCUGAAAUGAAAAAAUGCACAGAAUGUCUCAUCUUCAUUAAAAUAUAUCCCACGCUCUCAAAUUUUCGUAUUAAAUGUGAUUAAUUACGGUUGUAUUUCGACAUUUGGGGAGAAUGACUUGAACUGCAGUAUGACCCGGAAGUGUUUCUAACUCCGGAAACCAGCGAAGGGAUGCGACCGAACAGCUCAGUUCGUACAACUGCAAAGAAAGCUAAAACAAAUAUGGGUGAAAAACAGCCUUUUCCCAUGUAAAACCGUAAACAGCGCAGUACAAACUGGAAAUACGAACACUUCGCAUAGUCAAGAAAUAGCUAUCAUUAAAACAGCGUUGGUUAUCGCUCGGCGAAAUGGCCUGUCUGCUAGCUCGCCAGCCCAGCGGAAAUUGCGUUUUGUUAACGGCUUGAAAACAGUGCAGACGGCGAGACGGGGCCUUGCUUUGCAAACUACUUUCUUCUGGAUGCUGGACGGGUUGUCGCCUUCCCAGUUUUCUUCUUCCCUUUCAUCAUUCAGAAGCUGCAGUUUGGGAGCCCCUGUUUUGGACGUUCUCCCCAGGCGACUCCUCGCCCUUCCCCGUCCGGAUCUCCACAGAAGAAUUUGGUAACAGUCACUGGAAGGAGUUGCCUUGCCUCACUUCAGUUUCCAUCUCAUCCUCCACCUUCUAUAAGUAAAACACAACAACAAAGGUGACCUGACUGUUUAUUCUUCACCGGUAAAGAAAAUGGACAGCAUCGUUGAACUGGGCCAUGAUCAACCUGCUCUGCAUCUUGCAACUACCUAAACCAAAGAGUCUUGUUUUUGGUAACAGAGCAACAAGGCCAAUAAGAAAAGGCAAAAAAAGUGAAUGGUCUAAGUAGCAACUGAAUACACCUAAAUUUCCAAAGAGAAGAAACUAUCUGAAUAGUGGCUAAAACAGGUUCCAUCAUUUACAACAAGGAAAAACAUAAUAGUCAACAACUGAAAUUGUAUUGCAGAUUCAAAUGACAUUAAAGAACAGGUUACAUACGGUAACCAACAGGCCAGUAGGGUUUUGGGGUAUAUAGCAAAUGCAGAUAAAAUGUCUUCAAGUUCACUAAGACAAAUACUGACAAAGCUAAACAGCACUUAAUCAGCUUGGUUCUGAACAAAUCUUUGCUCUUCUUGGAUUUACACUGAUGAAGCAGUGAUACUAAGAAGUGUUAAGCAGCAGGAGCAUACUGCAAACCUGCUAUAUCAGUGAAAAGCAGUCUGAUUUUAAAAAAGACACCUAUGGUUC